CCUACUCUUUCCCUCUCUCUGCCUUUGUACAAUAAAGGCCUUAAAACCAUGGACUGACUCUUCUCAUCGGGAUCCACCAUGCUGGAGCAAUGGAGCAGGCCUUCCCCUAAAGAGCCUCUCACGGGAGGCCUCCCUGUGCUCCAGCCGCGGCUUCGGCCAACCCAAACCACUGACUGAGCAAGCCUAGGACUCUCAUCCCCACGGGCUACUGGGCCAGAGCUGACUCUGCAGCACUUAACUCCUUGCUACUGAUGGUGCUGACUCGCCAGGUUUUUGCGUUUAACAAUGUGCUAUCUACUUGGUUCUAGGUAUCCCCUUCAAAUGCCAUUGUAUUUUGUCACAUACAGAAGAUAUGUUUCAGAAAAUGUUUGCAACUACAUUCAUUCAAGUUUUUGGAUGAAUUAUUUAAAGUCACUGAAAGCCAGUAAGUUAAAGAAAUAUGGCUUCUUCUACUACAUAAAGUCAGGACUCCCAUUCAU
Mus musculus (house mouse) is the source of this 479-nucleotide long non-coding RNA. RefSeq annotates it as predicted gene, 33803. The record is from RefSeq and is a predicted model, not a curated record. Lineage: Eukaryota; Metazoa; Chordata; Mammalia; Rodentia; Muridae. The transcript is spliced from 3 exons.